Molecule: long non-coding RNA, 1298 nt
Organism: Carassius auratus (goldfish)
Lineage: Eukaryota; Metazoa; Chordata; Actinopteri; Cypriniformes; Cyprinidae
Exons: 7
Source: RefSeq, a predicted model, not a curated record
UCAGAUGAUGCUAACCCAGAGACAACAUACAGAACUACCACAUUUUGACUCGUGCAGUAUUCUUGCUCUAUGUCGGGUCCACCCUUUUUCUGGCUGUGGUGCCUCCAUUGUCCUAACACUCUUCAGCAACCUGUCAAGAUCUUUAUAUGGUGGCCACCAGGAGUAGCCAUCUGCAUACCAGGACUUGGAAGCUGGUCCAGUCGUCCCUUCUCCCUCAAACUCCACGAUUAGAAAUCAACUGUUGUUGAGAGGUCAUCCACUAAAUGAAUGCCAAGUGUAGAGGAUGGCAGUGGAUAGUCAAACAAGGAUUCCUGGUGGUUGAAGAAGUCUUUUGAGUUUGUUUAGGUGAUUCUCAUACUUGAAAGCACUGAAGUUGUCAAGGACACCAUGCUUUUUUGCAUCAUCUGCAAGAUGUACAAGACAGUGUGCAUUGUAGGACAAGAAUUGUGGACCAUACAGUUGACCAAAGUGAGAGACAAAGAGCACCACCUACAAGUCAGAGGACCCAUCUUUAGCCACAAGAGAAGAAGCCGUCUCAUGAUUCCGAGGCACACAAGGUGCAUGUAGUCGAGGGGGAAACCAGAGACCAUGUUUAGGGAUGUUUCUUCAAGAGUGUCCCUAGGAUGGGCCAGAACUGUGUUGCUGAGCUCUUAUAAAGUGGCAAACCAUCAAUGCUGACCUGAAGCUCCAGCGUGUGAAUGUUGCGCAGAAUGUCAACAUUCUGAUGUAGCACCUCUGCAAUUGAAUUCAGCACUCCGAAAUGCAAGGCAUUCGAUUGGCUGGUAGGUGCUGAUGUCGAGCUGCAAGAACAACAUGGCACGGGUUCAAAGCCUUAUUCAACUGAGAAAAUUGAUCAGCGUCAUGGUACAAGCGAAGUCUGAAUGGUUUGGUAAGGUGAACUUGAAACGAAAUCCCGCAACCGUGAGUUUGUUAAACUGUUGUCACUGAACAGGACUUUUUGUGAUUUCGUGUAUGUUAAAUGGACAUCAUAUACGUUUAGUGCUUGUGUAACUUGAUCCGGGCCGCUGUUAUUACGUUAGCUCGGAGCCUCUGUUCAUGGUUGACUUGCCUUACAUUUGUCAGAGCUGGUGGGUCUAAAUCAAUCCGAGAUAGCCCAUUACGAUGUCCAAUACUAAAGCUAACUUGUAGGAAUGAAUGAAAACUAGUGAGCAAUUUCGAAAAGCCGCUGAGUGUAAAUCUUACUUGUUAUUGCGGUGUAAAAUACAAGUGCACUUGAUUGUCCACUUAGUUUUUGGACCAUCACAAAUGGGUUUCCCUGAAAAGUAUACUAUUUGAGG